UACGUAGGGUGCAAGCGUUGUCCGGAAUUACUGGGCGUAAAGCGUGCGCAGGCGGCUAUUUAAGCUUGCUGUGAAAGCCCCGGGCUUAACCUGGGAAUGGCAGUGAGGACUGGAUGGCUGGAGUGUGGCAGAGGGGGGUGGAAUUCCACGUGUAGCAGUGAAAUGCGUAGAGAUGUGGAGGAACACCGAUGGCGAAGGCAGCCCCCUGGGCUAACACUGACGCUCAGGCACGAAAGCGUGGGGAGCAAACAGG
This 253-nucleotide ribosomal RNA is filed under the name uncultured bacterium. RNAcentral's name for it is "partial 16S ribosomal RNA". It matches the Rfam family "Bacterial small subunit ribosomal RNA", at positions 524 to 776 of the family's 1533-position model. The record is from RNAcentral.